GUCACGCCUAAACGAUGUCGACUAGUUGUCGGGCCUUUACAGGUUCGGUAACGCAGCUAACGCGUGAAGUCGACCGCCUGGGGAGUACGUCGCAAGAUUAAACUCAAGGAAUUGACGGGACCCGCACAAGCGGUGGAUGAUGUGGAUUAAUUCGAUGCAACGCGAAAACCUUACCUACCCUUGACAUGCCCGGAAUCUCGCAGAGAUGUGAGAGUGCCCGAAAGGGAGCCGGGACACAGGUGCUGCAUGGCUGUCGU
This 257-nucleotide ribosomal RNA is filed under the name uncultured bacterium. RNAcentral's name for it is "partial 16S ribosomal RNA". It matches the Rfam family "Bacterial small subunit ribosomal RNA", at positions 794 to 1055 of the family's 1533-position model. The record is from RNAcentral.